UACGUAGGGACCAAGCGUUGUUCGGAUUUACUGGGCGUAAAGGGCGCGUAGGCGGCGCGGUAAGUCACUUGUGAAAUCUCUGAGCUUAACUCAGAACGGCCAAGUGAUACUGCAGUGCUAGAGUGCAGAAGGGGCAAUCGGAAUUCUUGGUGUAGCGGUGAAAUGCGUAGAUAUCAAGAGGAACACCUGAGGCGAAGGCGGGUUGCUAGGCUGACACUGACGCUGAUGCGCGAAAGCCAGGGGAGCAAACGGG
Molecule: ribosomal RNA, 253 nt
Filed under: uncultured bacterium
Lineage: Bacteria
Description: partial 16S ribosomal RNA
Rfam family: Bacterial small subunit ribosomal RNA
Source: RNAcentral